This 2483-nucleotide ribosomal RNA is filed under the name Escherichia coli. Its description in RNAcentral is "partial 23S ribosomal RNA". It matches the Rfam family "Bacterial large subunit ribosomal RNA", at positions 474 to 2925 of the family's 2925-position model. The record is from RNAcentral. Lineage: Bacteria; Pseudomonadati; Pseudomonadota; Gammaproteobacteria; Enterobacterales; Enterobacteriaceae. RNAcentral also lists the same sequence under 1 other name.
UCCUGACUGACCGAUAGUGAACCAGUACCGUGAGGGAAAGGCGAAAAGAACCCCGGCGAGGGGAGUGAAAAAGAACCUGAAACCGUGUACGUACAAGCAGUGGGAGCACGCUUAGGCGUGUGACUGCGUACCUUUUGUAUAAUGGGUCAGCGACUUAUAUUCUGUAGCAAGGUUAACCGAAUAGGGGAGCCGAAGGGAAACCGAGUCUUAACUGGGCGUUAAGUUGCAGGGUAUAGACCCGAAACCCGGUGAUCUAGCCAUGGGCAGGUUGAAGGUUGGGUAACACUAACUGGAGGACCGAACCGACUAAUGUUGAAAAAUUAGCGGAUGACUUGUGGCUGGGGGUGAAAGGCCAAUCAAACCGGGAGAUAGCUGGUUCUCCCCGAAAGCUAUUUAGGUAGCGCCUCGUGAAUUCAUCUCCGGGGGUAGAGCACUGUUUCGGCAAGGGGGUCAUCCCGACUUACCAACCCGAUGCAAACUGCGAAUACCGGAGAAUGUUAUCACGGGAGACACACGGCGGGUGCUAACGUCCGUCGUGAAGAGGGAAACAACCCAGACCGCCAGCUAAGGUCCCAAAGUCAUGGUUAAGUGGGAAACGAUGUGGGAAGGCCCAGACAGCCAGGAUGUUGGCUUAGAAGCAGCCAUCAUUUAAAGAAAGCGUAAUAGCUCACUGGUCGAGUCGGCCUGCGCGGAAGAUGUAACGGGGCUAAACCAUGCACCGAAGCUGCGGCAGCGACGCUUAUGCGUUGUUGGGUAGGGGAGCGUUCUGUAAGCCUGCGAAGGUGUGCUGUGAGGCAUGCUGGAGGUAUCAGAAGUGCGAAUGCUGACAUAAGUAACGAUAAAGCGGGUGAAAAGCCCGCUCGCCGGAAGACCAAGGGUUCCUGUCCAACGUUAAUCGGGGCAGGGUGAGUCGACCCCUAAGGCGAGGCCGAAAGGCGUAGUCGAUGGGAAACAGGUUAAUAUUCCUGUACUUGGUGUUACUGCGAAGGGGGGACGGAGAAGGCUAUGUUGGCCGGGCGACGGUUGUCCCGGUUUAAGCGUGUAGGCUGGUUUUCCAGGCAAAUCCGGAAAAUCAAGGCUGAGGCGUGAUGACGAGGCACUACGGUGCUGAAGCAACAAAUGCCCUGCUUCCAGGAAAAGCCUCUAAGCAUCAGGUAACAUCAAAUCGUACCCCAAACCGACACAGGUGGUCAGGUAGAGAAUACCAAGGCGCUUGAGAGAACUCGGGUGAAGGAACUAGGCAAAAUGGUGCCGUAACUUCGGGAGAAGGCACGCUGAUAUGUAGGUGAAGUCCCUUGCGGAUGGAGCUGAAAUCAGUCGAAGAUACCAGCUGGCUGCAACUGUUUAUUAAAAACACAGCACUGUGCAAACACGAAAGUGGACGUAUACGGUGUGACGCCUGCCCGGUGCCGGAAGGUUAAUUGAUGGGGUCAGCGCAAGCGAAGCUCUUGAUCGAAGCCCCGGUAAACGGCGGCCGUAACUAUAACGGUCCUAAGGUAGCGAAAUUCCUUGUCGGGUAAGUUCCGACCUGCACGAAUGGCGUAAUGAUGGCCAGGCUGUCUCCACCCGAGACUCAGUGAAAUUGAACUCGCUGUGAAGAUGCAGUGUACCCGCGGCAAGACGGAAAGACCCCGUGAACCUUUACUAUAGCUUGACACUGAACAUUGAGCCUUGAUGUGUAGGAUAGGUGGGAGGCUUUGAAGUGUGGACGCCAGUCUGCAUGGAGCCGGCCUUGAAAUACCACCCUUUAAUGUUUGAUGUUCUAACGUGGACCCGUGAUCCGGGUUGCGGACAGUGUCUGGUGGGUAGUUUGACUGGGGCGGUCUCCUCCUAAAGAGUAACGGAGGAGCACGAAGGUUGGCUAAUCCUGGUCGGACAUCAGGAGGUUAGUGCAAUGGCAUAAGCCAGCUUGACUGCGAGCGUGACGGCGCGAGCAGGUGCGAAAGCAGGUCAUAGUGAUCCGGUGGUUCUGAAUGGAAGGGCCAUCGCUCAACGGAUAAAAGGUACUCCGGGGAUAACAGGCUGAUACCGCCCAAGAGUUCAUAUCGACGGCGGUGUUUGGCACCUCGAUGUCGGCUCAUCACAUCCUGGGGCUGAAGUAGGUCCCAAGGGUAUGGCUGUUCGCCAUUUAAAGUGGUACGCGAGCUGGGUUUAGAACGUCGUGAGACAGUUCGGUCCCUAUCUGCCGUGGGCGCUGGAGAACUGAGGGGGGCUGCUCCUAGUACGAGAGGACCGGAGUGGACGCAUCACUGGUGUUCGGGUUGUCAUGCCAAUGGCACUGCCCGGUAGCUAAAUGCGGAAGAGAUAAGUGCUGAAAGCAUCUAAGCACGAAACUUGCCCCGAGAUGAGUUCUCCCUGACCCUUUAAGGGUCCUGAAGGAACGUUGAAGACGACGACGUUGAUAGGCCGGGUGUGUAAGCGCAGCGAUGCGUUGAGCUAACCGGUACUAAUGAACCGUGAGGCUUAACCUUACAACGCCGAAG